Molecule: unclassified non-coding RNA, 292 nt
Filed under: uncultured Treponema sp.
Lineage: Bacteria; Pseudomonadati; Spirochaetota; Spirochaetia; Treponematales; Treponemataceae
Description: partial contains 16S ribosomal RNA, 16S-23S ribosomal RNA intergenic spacer, and 23S ribosomal RNA
Rfam family: Bacterial small subunit ribosomal RNA (bases 1-126)
Source: RNAcentral
GAGUCGAGGGUACCCGAAGAUGCUAGUCUAACCGCAAGGAGGACGGUGGCGAAGGUACGUUUGGUAAGGAGGGUGAAGUCGUAACAAGGUAGCCGUACCGGAAGGUGUGGCUGGAUCACCUCCUUUCUAAGAGAAAGGAAAUAGGACUAUUAAAAAGUGUUGUAUACUUUUGUAGUCAUAGACUCUUGAAGUACACAAGAGUGCUCUUUGUUUUAUUCUACUUUAUCUAUUCUUUCCUGUUCUUCUCUUUUUUAUAUUGACUGGGGUCUGUAGCUCAGUUGGUUAGAGCACU